RNAcentral lists this ribosomal RNA (996 nucleotides) under Oceanobacillus sp. RNAcentral describes it as "bacterial SSU rRNA". It matches the Rfam family "Bacterial small subunit ribosomal RNA", at positions 67 to 1040 of the family's 1533-position model. The record is from RNAcentral. Lineage: Bacteria; Bacillati; Bacillota; Bacilli; Caryophanales; Bacillaceae.
CUGAUCCUUUUUGGAGGUGACGAUAAUGGAAUGAGCGGCGGACGGGUGAGUAACACGUAGGCAACCUGCCUGUAAGACUGGGAUAACUCGUGGAAACGCGAGCUAAUACCGGAUAACACUUUUUAUCUCCUGAUGAGAAGUUGAAAGGCGGCUUUUGCUGUCACUUACAGAUGGGCCUGCGGCGCAUUAGCUAGUUGGUAAGGUAACGGCUUACCAAGGCGACGAUGCGUAGCCGACCUGAGAGGGUGAUCGGCCACACUGGGACUGAGACACGGCCCAGACUCCUACGGGAGGCAGCAGUAGGGAAUCUUCCGCAAUGGACGAAAGUCUGACGGAGCAACGCCGCGUGAGUGAUGAAGGUUUUCGGAUCGUAAAACUCUGUUGUUAGGGAAGAACAAGUGCCAUAGUAACUGAUGGCACCUUGACGGUACCUAACCAGAAAGCCACGGCUAACUACGUGCCAGCAGCCGCGGUAAUACGUAGGUGGCAAGCGUUGUCCGGAAUUAUUGGGCGUAAAGCGCUCGCAGGCGGUUCUUUAAGUCUGAUGUGAAAUCUUACGGCUCAACCGUAAACGUGCAUUGGAAACUGGAGGACUUGAGUGCAGAAGAGGAGAGUGGAAUUCCACGUGUAGCGGUGAAAUGCGUAGAGAUGUGGAGGAACACCAGUGGCGAAGGCGACUCUCUGGUCUGUAACUGACGCUGAGGAGCGAAAGCGUGGGGAGCGAACAGGAUUAGAUACCCUGGUAGUCCACGCCGUAAACGAUGAGUGCUAGGUGUUAGGGGGUUUCCGCCCCUUAGUGCUGAAGUUAACGCAUUAAGCACUCCGCCUGGGGAGUACGGCCGCAAGGCUGAAACUCAAAAGAAUUGACGGGGGCCCGCACAAGCGGUGGAGCAUGUGGUUUAAUUCGAAGCAACGCGAAGAACCUUACCAGGUCUUGACAUCCUCUGAACACUCUAGAGAUAGAGUUUUUCCCUUUCGGGGACAGAGUGACAGGUG